GGCAGUACUCUGUACGGGUCAGGCACGGGCAGCCUCUUGGGGGUUGUCUGUGACCUUUUCCACAUCUUUUCCCUUAUCCGCCCACUUGUGGCCAUUUUGAGGAUUUUUAGCCCAGCUGUCCGAAAAAGGGGACCCCCCUUGGCAGUGAGAACUUUGCCAGGAUCUCAUAGUGUCCCUGAAUCUGAAAAUGUCCGUUGAGCUGAAGUAUAUGUGUGGGGAACACAUCCGCCUUAACUUCAAGGUUCUAGUGAGCAUCACCCAGUGGCUCGUGGCCCUACUCUGGGGAGUCCCUGUGUCUUGGUGCAGAGGCUGGUCCACGGGCCCUGUCUGUCCGGCUCAGUCCAUAACAGAAACAGUUCCAGGUCUAUGUAAGGGCACUGAGCAUGCUCCAAUGCUUGUAUUUCAUUUUCGUUCUCUUCUUUCCUCUCCUCCCCUCUGUCCUUCCCUCCCCCUCACUUCUACCCUCUCCCCUCGCACUUCCCUUCCCCUCUCCCUCCCCCUUCUUUU
RNAcentral lists this long non-coding RNA (507 nucleotides) under Rattus norvegicus (Norway rat). Its description in RNAcentral is "long non-coding RNA NONRATT019180". The record is from RNAcentral. Lineage: Eukaryota; Metazoa; Chordata; Mammalia; Rodentia; Muridae.